AUUGAACGCUGGCGGCAGGCCUAAUACAUGCAAGUCGAACGGUAACAUAAGAAAGCUUGCUUUCUUGAUGACGAGUGGCGGACGGGUGAGUAAUAUUUGGGAAGCUACCUGAUAGAGGGGGACAACAGUUGGAAACGACUGCUAAUACCGCAUAAGCCCACGGCUCGGCAUCGAGCAGAGGGAAAAGGAGCAAUCCGCUUUGAGAUGGCCUCGCGUCCGAUUAGCUAGUUGGUGAGGUAACGGCCCACCAAGGCGACGAUCGGUAGCCGGACUGAGAGGUUGAACGGCCACAUUGGGACUGAGACACGGCCCAGACUCCUACGGGAGGCAGCAGUGGGGAAUAUUGCACAAUGGGGGAAACCCUGAUGCAGCGACGCCGCGUGGAGGAAGAAGGUCUUCGGAUUGUAAACUCCUGUUGUUGGGGAAGAUGAUGACGGUACCCAACAAGGAAGUGACGGCUAACUACGUG
RNAcentral lists this ribosomal RNA (469 nucleotides) under uncultured bacterium. RNAcentral's name for it is "bacterial SSU rRNA". It matches the Rfam family "Bacterial small subunit ribosomal RNA", at positions 30 to 507 of the family's 1533-position model. The record is from RNAcentral.